This is a long non-coding RNA of Cylas formicarius (sweet potato weevil), 1415 nucleotides long. RefSeq lists it as uncharacterized. Lineage: Eukaryota; Metazoa; Arthropoda; Insecta; Coleoptera; Brentidae. The record is from RefSeq and is a predicted model, not a curated record. The transcript has 3 exons.
UGUCAAAAUGAGUACAUGUCGACGAAUUUUUAAAUUUUGGCAUAUCGUCAUCAAUCGCGUGAAAAAUGCAUCACUGGGGUUUAUUUCCAAGAGAAACAAAUACAGUUUACAAAUUAAAAGUAUUUAAUAUAACAUUUUUUCUGCAGUGCCCUUCCGAAUUUGAAUCUAUGGUAGACGCAACCAUAUUCGAACACGAAGAAGAGACGUAGAAAACGCCGAGAUGAAAACAUGGCUGCAAAUUUCAAGAUUUUGGAAUAUCAUCGUUCAUCGCGCAAAAAAUACAUCGCGGGGAUUUAUUUUAAGAAGAAACAGAGAUAUUUCACACAUAACAGGUAAUUAGAAUACCCAAGAAAUUACGCAAAAGCAAAACAAUACAGAUAAUAGAAAAGUGAGCAUACAGAAAAAUAUUUGAUAUGAUUCAACAACAAGGUGUUUAGUCAUAAAGAAUGAUUCCAAUUCGGAUUAGAUAGUUUUCAUCAAGUACGAGUGAAUAUACCUCGUACAACAUAAAAAUUACUCCGAGUUAGUUAUCAAAAAAACAAUUGUAGACAACUUCUAAAGAAAUUGUCAUAAGGAACUUGCCAAAAUUGCCAUCACUGAUUUAAGAUGGAUAUAUUUAUGCAAAUGAACAAACCAUCAUUGACCAUUGAUGAUUACUUUUAUGAAGAAUAUCUUUGACCAUUCAUCCAAAAAAAAAGCCGUUGAUAAUUUCAUCAAAAAGAUUACCGUUGUAACCCUACAAGGACUGAUGUCAUGUAGAUGAGAAGAGGUUUUCCAAGAAAUACGAUACUCGAAUAAAAAGAUUCAAAUAUACCAAGUAGACAACAAAUCAUCAUCGACAACUGAAUUAUAAAGAAUAGCGCCAAUCAGUUAUCGGAAACGAAAUCCUUGACGAUUUCACUCAAAGGAUGAUCAUUGAAACUUUACCAAAAAUCAUCAUCAUUUAAUUAGAAGAAAAUCAUUUUCGGAGUAUAUCACUUCAACAAAUAGAUUUAAAUAUAAAAAGUAACUUUUUUAAACACUUUAAAAACAAUAUAUUUGUGAACAUAUUUAAAAAAAAUUUGUAAUUCUCUAAUUGAAAUAUAUAAACUAUAUAAAAAAUAUUAUUUGAAAAUUUUGUCAUUCAUAUAAAUAAUUAUCGACUUAUAAAAUAUAUUUUUUAUAUAGUUAUAUAUUUAAUUGUAAUAUCAAUAUUGUAUUAAUAUUUUUUUCAAAAUUGUAAAAAUAACACUAUAUUAUUACACUUUUCCUUUUGUUCUAAAUUUAAACGAAAAUUUUUUAUUCGAAAAAUUGAUCAAAAUAUGUAAAAACCAUUAUUAUUUUUUGAAUAAAGUGUCAGUGAUUUUUAUAUAUACAUUAAAUAUGGAUGAUAAAUAUGUUUGUAAUAUAUAUAAGAAUAAUGCGAUUGUAAUUCU